Molecule: long non-coding RNA, 1395 nt
Organism: Rosa chinensis
Lineage: Eukaryota; Viridiplantae; Streptophyta; Magnoliopsida; Rosales; Rosaceae
Exons: 3
Source: RefSeq, a predicted model, not a curated record
ACUUUUUUUUUUUUUUCUUCUUUUCAUCGCCCCAAUUCAGAACCCAGGCGAAGACGAGUUUUGGUGCUGGUAUUUAUGCCCAAUCAAUCUGAAGAUGCAACUUGGAGAUGGAAACACCUCUUCUGCGAGACAAAACCUCCCCACCUUUGAAACUUGCGCUCGGCUUUAUUGCUUCUCACUAUGAAGAAUUGGAGUGAUUUCGAGGGAGUACCCACCACUUAGGAGCUCGUUUCUUCACCUUGGUUGUUCAAUUUGGUUGCCGCAUUUUAUCGAACAGGUUUCAGUCAAGGCUUCUAGAAGGAGUCGUUUCUCUUCUUAUUUGCUUCAUGGACAAUGGUCAUGACUCAUGAACAUGGCAUGGCACAUCUGAAAGAAGAGGUGCCUGCUUCGUCAGCAGCAGUAGCAACUUGCACCAGAAACAAUUGUGUCGUCUUCUUUUCCUCAUCACCAGUUUGUACUCAUUCGACAGAGCUUCUGUAUGUGGUGCGGGCGUGAGUGCAGGCAAGAGCUUUGGUGGAGCUUGUUUUCGUUGAAGCUCCAUUGACACUCUGUUUACUGCUGCAAGGCUUUAAAAAAAUUUCACCGGAUUGGUCAUACACCCGUUGAUACACAUGUAUCGUAAACGAGAUUGUGACCGCUCCGGGGACCUCCAUAGCUCCAUGGUGACACAGGUAACAGAGAUGCUACACAGAAAAAGAAAGUAUCACGGGUGGAUCAGAGAGGCCCCAAUCUUUGUGUUGUUUGCUUGUUGGCUCCUUGCUUCGAUCAAAAUUGCUGAAACGCUUCCUCUCUCCUCUGCAGCAAGCUUCGCCUCUUUCUUGAUGUAUUUCCUGUGUGUCUUCUCUCCAGCCUUUUCUGCUUCUACUCCGCUCUAGCUUUUUCUACUCCUCCUUCGAACAAAGUCUCUGAGCACUUCUCCUUUGCAGCAGGGCUUCACCUUUCUCUUGAUGUAUCCCUUGUCUGUCCUUUGUUGUAGAGAGUGUGCCUUUUUAUAGGCAACAAUGGAUCAGCUUGAGAUAGGAUAAUUAUCAAUUCAAAUUCAAAUUGCAGUUAUAAUCACAUUUGUCAAUUUGAAAUGAACAUAGCAGCAACCAACUUUCACGUUGAAGCUUUUGGUGGCUUUUGUGAAUUUCAAAGCUCACUUAUCUUGACUUGGUCUUCCAUUUGUAGGAGGUGAAGAGUACCCAACAGUCUUGUUUUGAAAUUUGAAUGUCCACGUGAAGCAUAAGAAAUCUUUUGCAUGUAUUUGAAUUUGCAUAUUAAAUCCCGUAGAGUUGAUCAUCAAGUUUGAAUUGCAUGGUCAGUAAGUGCCCCAUGCAAGAAGAAUUCUAUCCAAGCUUGGGAUCUUAUCUUUGUACCAACGCAGCAAUCUUUUUUUUUUUUUCCUUUCAACAU